AUUGAACGCUGGCGGCAGGCUUAACACAUGCAAGUCGAGCGGAGCGAGGGUGCUUGCACCUUAGCUUAGCGGCGGACGGGUGAGUAAUGCUUAGGAAUCUGCCUAUUAGUGGGGGACAACAUUCCGAAAGGAAUGCUAAUACCGCAUACGCCCUACGGGGAAAGCAGGGGAUCUUCGGACCUUGCGCUAAUAGAUGAGCCUAAGUCGGAUUAGCUAGUUGGUGGGGUAAAGGCCUACCAAGGCGACGAUCUGUAGCGGGUCUGAGAGGAUGAUCCGCCACACUGGGACUGAGACACGGCCCAGACUCCUACGGGAGGCAGCAGUGGGGAAUAUUGGACAAUGGGCGCAAGCCUGAUCCAGCCAUGCCGCGUGUGUGAAGAAGGCCUUUGGUUGUAAAGCACUUUAAGCGAGGAGGAGGGCUACUUAGAUUAAUACUCUAGGAUAGUGGACGUUACUCGCAGAAUAAGCACCGACUAACUCUGUGCCAGCAGCCG
Molecule: ribosomal RNA, 494 nt
Filed under: uncultured bacterium
Lineage: Bacteria
Description: bacterial SSU rRNA
Rfam family: Bacterial small subunit ribosomal RNA
Source: RNAcentral